AUUGAACGCUGGCGGCAUGCCUUACACAUGCAAGUCGAACGGCAGCAUGGAGAGCUUGCUCUCUGAUGGCGAGUGGCGAACGGGUGAGUAAUGCAUCGGAACGUACCGUGUAAUGGGGGAUAACGUAGCGAAAGUUACGCUAAUACCGCAUACGACCUGAGGGUGAAAGCAGGGGAUCGCAAGACCUUGCGUUAUACGAGCGGCCGAUGUCAGAUUAGCUAGUUGGUGAGGUAAAGGCUCACCAAGGCGACGAUCUGUAGCGGGUCUGAGAGGAUGAGCCGCAACACUGGGACUGAGACACGGCCCAGACUCCUACGGGAGGCAGCAGUGGGGAAUUUUGGACAAUGGGGGCAACCCUGAUCCAGCCAUGCCGCGUGAGUGAAGAAGGCCUUCGGGUUGUAAAGCUCUUUCGGCCGGGAAGAAAUCGCACAGGCUAAUACUCUGUGUGGAUGACGGUACCGGCAUAAGAAGCACCGGCUAACUACGUGCCAGCAGCCGCAGUAA
RNAcentral lists this ribosomal RNA (504 nucleotides) under uncultured bacterium. Its description in RNAcentral is "partial 16S ribosomal RNA". It matches the Rfam family "Bacterial small subunit ribosomal RNA", at positions 30 to 523 of the family's 1533-position model. The record is from RNAcentral.